RNA transcript from Setaria italica (foxtail millet), 2710 nucleotides. RefSeq lists it as uncharacterized. Lineage: Eukaryota; Viridiplantae; Streptophyta; Magnoliopsida; Poales; Poaceae. The transcript is spliced from 3 exons. The record is from RefSeq and is a predicted model, not a curated record.
GUCCUCGGUUUUUCCCUGCGCACACCAAACCAUCCCCCCAUCUCCUCGCUCUAUCUCUCAUCCCCCCGCCUGCCGCGCCCGCGCGCAGCCGCCGCAUCCCUCCGACUCCGACCUCCUCACGGGCUCGCCGCCUCCCCCGCCUCCGCCGCCGCAGGUCUGUUGGCCUUUCUAGAAACUGAAGCUCAGCUCAAAACUUCAUCAUUCUCCUCUCAGUCUUGAAAGUGGCGAAAAAUGGAUCGUGAUGAUGUAGCCGGCUUUGUUAGUGGAGGUUGCAAAAAUUUCUGCCGAGACUUCUAAGUUCUAACCCAGUAGAUGACUAUAGAGUUUUGAUUUCCGGAAGUCAGGCAGCGGGUUCUUUUCAUUUCAUAUUUGGUUAUGUUUCUUGAUUGGAAUGGACAGGGCCUCCCCAAACCUUGGAUCUGGUGGUAAUAUUAACUCCUUGAACAAUCUUUGUCACUGGAGCACAGUUCAGCUAGCAGCUGAAUACAAAGAUACUGCCACUGGCACGCUUGUGUAUUCCAACUUCUCUAAGGACAAUCCAAGAGCACUGAAAAGGAAGUGGAUUGAUAUGGCUGGAGUUGAAGGUCCUGAAAAUCCACUGCCCACCCUUGGUUUGGGCCGUUCACCAAGUUCCUCUGAAAAUAGCAAGGGUAGCUCCCCCACAGCUUGCAUAAUGUCUCCAUCUUCAGUGAAAGAGACUGAUGAGGAGUCAUCAAUGGAUCUUGGUCUAAAUUUCGAUCUUUGUCUUGGUCAUGAUGUGGUACAUCAUCACAAGAAACCACAUGCUGGUGCUGAAAACAUUCCAUCAGCAAGUGCUCCAAAAUUGGAUCUUCAGUUAAGUUUGUCCACAUGUUCUCCUGAAUCAGCUGUGACCAAUGCAAGUACUGCAUCAUUAGAUGUUCAUGAUGGCUUAGAGACAGUGGUGCCUAAUUCGGUGACAGAUACUAUCGGGAGAAAAUCAGAACCCUCUAGUUGGGUUUUUGGGCAUUACAUGGCUUCAUCAUCAUAUGCUUCUGAAGCAACCUACAGCUUUUCUUUGGCAAAGAUACCCCAAAAGGUUGAUGAUGCUGUGCCUUCCCCAGAUGUCUCAUCAGCCAUUACAGUGAGUGUGAAAAGCCCAGCUGCCUGUACUUCCGGGGCAACUAACCCCCUAAAACGCAACACAAAUACUAAAUGCUGUCAGUUCCCAGGAUGUGAAAAGGGAGCAAGAGGAGCCUCUGGGUAUUGUAUAGCCCAUGGUGGUGGGAGGCGAUGCCAAAAACCUGGUUGUCAGAAGGGAGCUGAGGGAAGGACCAUCUAUUGCAAAGCUCAUGGUGGUGGUAGGAGAUGCCAGUACCUUGGUUGCACAAAGAGUGCUGAAGGUCGCACUGACCACUGCAUAGCUCAUGGUGGUGGUCGCCGUUGUAGUCAGGAAGGCUGUUCACGUGCCGCACGUGGAAAGUCUGGCUUGUGCAUCAAGCAUGGAGGUGGCAAGAGGUGCCAGAGGGAGAACUGCAAGAGAAGUGCAGAAGGAUAUACAGGCCUUUGCAUCUCACAUGGUGGUGGAAGGCGUUGUCAGUUUCCGGAUUGUACAAAGGGUGCCCAGGGAAGCACAAAGUUCUGCAAGGCGCAUGGUGGAGGGAAGCGCUGCACAUUCCCAGGUUGUGCCAAGGGAGCUGAAGGUAGCACUUCUUUCUGCAAGGGGCACGGUGGAGGUAAGCGCUGCUCCUACCAGGGUGGUGGUGUAUGUCCGAAGAGUGUCCAUGGUGGGACGCAGUACUGUGUUGCUCACGGUGGUGGGAAGAGGUGCUCAGUUUCAGGAUGUACCAAGAGUGCUAGAGGUAGGACGGAAUACUGUGUGCGCCAUGGUGGUGGUAAGAGAUGCAAGUUUGAGGGUUGUGCAAAAAGUGCGCAAGGGAGCACUGAUUUCUGCAAGGCACAUGGAGGAGGCAAGCGCUGCUCGUGGGGCCAGGAGGGGUCAAGCUUCGGUGUUGGUGGGCCGCCGUGUGAUAAGUUUGCUCGCAGCAAGAUUGGUCUGUGUGCAGCUCACAGCGCUUUGAUUGAGGACCAUUGUGUCCAUGGUGGUGGCUCAUUGGAUCCUGCAAUCAAACAGUUUACAACUGAUGCCAAAUCUGAUGAGAUGAAUGUGACUGCAACAAAAGGCGAUGUGGACAUGGCGAACAGUGACAAUGAAGCCGUCAUGGUAUGGAGCGACCAUGGCAUUCCUACGGACCCCGGUACAACCCCGUUUCCAGAGGGCAGGGUCCACGGCAGUGGUCUGUUAGCUCUACUCUCCGGAAGAAGUCAUGCAUGCGCCAGCAGCUCUGAGAAUGACGCCUCAACUUCUCUUCCAUGCGCUCCUGGAUGUGAUGCGAGGGAGGCACAAUUUUCAUCGAGGACCGCCUCCUGUGUUCCGUUUGGUGGCAAGGCGAGGGUAAUACCGUUGCCUCACGUUUACCGAGAUUGAUGUCAGGAUGCUCACAUAAGCGGCUAUCCCAUGUAGCAGAAAUAAGGGGUAGCCAACUUGUAUUGUGAACUAUGUUGGGUUAUUGUAAUUAGUGUUGUUGUGGUGUCUCUGUGUAGUGCGUCCACAUUGUGUACUGUCCCAGACUGCUGUUAGCAGGAAUUGGCUUUUUCAAUUUUCAUUGUGAUGAAGUGUUUUUCUUGUAGUUGGUGUCACAAACUUUGCAAGUUUUGGUGUCAAAGUGAAAGCAGAAAAAAGUUCAGUCAA